Molecule: long non-coding RNA, 731 nt
Organism: Esox lucius (northern pike)
Lineage: Eukaryota; Metazoa; Chordata; Actinopteri; Esociformes; Esocidae
Exons: 3
Source: RefSeq, a predicted model, not a curated record
AUGAUAAGAAUAAACUGAACUGUAGAACAUCCUGUCCUCUGACUGACAAUGCCACCUACAUCUGGUACAAGAACGGGCAACCUAUUAGAGAAGACACUUCCAGCUUGAAUGUUCACAACUUCAGUGAUGAAGACCGUUACUCCUGUGGUGUUAAAGGCCAUGAGAACCUUCGAUCUCCUGCAGUGUGUAAAAAAACAUAUUGUGUGACCUACACAUCUCAGAGUAUCUGUGCCUUGAAGGGGUCAACAGUGGACCUGUCCAGCUCUUACCCAUAUCCCAGUUAUCAUGAUGUCAGGACAACCAUGUGGUAUUACUGGAAGAAUCGAAAUUGGAAAGAAAUCCCAAAUAAUAAUGCAGGUCGUGUGUUGUACCUUGGGAAUAAGGUAAAUGACUGUACCCUGAGAAUCACAGAUGUAAGCGAGGAGGACUCAACAUCUUAUUACUUCACAUUUAAACCUUCGGAUUUAACGAAAUAUGAAAAUGUCUCCCUGACUGUCACAGAUGUUGUGUUGGAGAUGGAGCCUACAUUUGUGUCAGAGGGGAACAGGGUCACUCUGACAUGUUCAACUAAAUGUACUCUGGACCCCAACCCAGAAUACAGUUGGUAUAAGAAUGGACAGCCUAUAGAAAACACCAACACCAACUCUACUGUCCAUAUCCUCUCAGUCAGCAGUGAAGAUGCAGGCAGAUUCUCCUGUGGUGUCAAAGGUCAUGAGACUCCUGAAAAGACU